Hibiscus syriacus is the source of this 677-nucleotide long non-coding RNA. RefSeq lists it as uncharacterized. The transcript has 2 exons. The record is from RefSeq and is a predicted model, not a curated record. NCBI's taxonomy places the organism in Eukaryota, Viridiplantae, Streptophyta, Magnoliopsida, Malvales, Malvaceae.
UCCCUUUCUAGCCGCUCGGCUCCUCCCCCUUUUCUCUCAUCUCUUUAUUUUUUAUUUUUAUUUUCCCACACAAACCCUCCGACCUCUAUUCCUAAUGUCCCCGAUGAGGGGCCGACAACCCCUAAACACCCAAAAAUAAACCCUACUAACUUAAACCUCCCUUAAAUCGAACCAAAUCAACCCUAAAAAUUCACAAAUCUACCUCAAAAAAUAGAAGACCGUAUACCUUUGAUGCUCAACACAGCCCCCUCGUCACCUGUGGUGAUCUAAACUCAAGAUCUGUUGCACGUUAUCUGCUUCGCCUUUGCGUGCUUGGGGAAGUUUUGUAGAAGCCAUCAUCACGGGCUCAGGUUGAUAGGCAAGGGAAAUGAUUUCCAUUUUUGUUGUUUUGUUAUUUGUCCUUAUUUCUCUACUUCUUGCUUGAUGGGUGACUCUUGGAAGAGAAAUAAUGACGUUGGAGGUCACGGGUUCGGCCGGAGUGACGGCGACGUGCCAGGUUCUUGCUGGUAAUGGCUGUGUUAGAUUAGGGAUUCAAUUGGGCCAAUUAGGCCCUCUUGUAAUCGGGCCCGAGUUUGGGCUUUGAUUGGGUUGAUGAUUUGUAAUUUGGGCACAGGUCUGUUGGGUCAGUUGGGUUUAUAAAGCCUGCAAAUAAUAAUAAUAAUAAUUAUUAUAAUUAA